AUUGAACGCUGGCGGCAGGCCUAACACAUGCAAGUCGAGCGGAUGAAGGGAGCUUGCUCCUGGAUUCAGCGGCGGACGGGUGAGUAAUGCCUAGGAAUCUGCCUGGUAGUGGGGGAUAACGUCCGGAAACGGGCGCUAAUACCGCAUACGUCCUGCGGGAGAAAGUGGGGGAUCUUCGGACCUCACGCUAUCAGAUGAGCCUAGGUCGGAUUAGAUAGUUGGUGGGGUAAAGGCCUACCAAGGCGACGAUCCGUAACUGGUCUGAGAGGAUGAUCAGUCACACUAGAACUGAGACACGGUCCAGACGCCUACAUGAGGCAGCAGUGGGGAAUAUUGGACAAUGGUCGAAAGCCUGAUCCAGCCAAGCCGCGUGUAUGAAGAAGGUCUUCGGAGUGUAGAGCACUUUAAGUUGGGAGGAAGGUCAGUAAUUUUAUACCUUGCUGUUUUGACGUUACCAACAGAAUAAGCACCGGCUAACUUCGUG
RNAcentral lists this ribosomal RNA (484 nucleotides) under uncultured bacterium. Its description in RNAcentral is "partial 16S ribosomal RNA". It matches the Rfam family "Bacterial small subunit ribosomal RNA", at positions 30 to 507 of the family's 1533-position model. The record is from RNAcentral.